UCCACGCCGUAAACGAUGAUCACUCGUUGUUGGCAAUACAUCGUCAGCGGCUGAGCGAAAGCAUUAAGUGAUCCACCUGGGGAGUACGUUCGCAAGAAUGAAACUCAAAGGAAUUGACGGGGGCCCGCACAAGCGGAGGAACAUGUGGUUUAAUUCGAUGAUACGCGAGGAACCUUACCUGGGCUUAAAUGUAGGAUGACAGACUGGGAAACUAGUUCUUCUUCGGACAGACUACAAGGUGCUGCAUGGUUGUCGUCAGCUCGUGCCGUGAGGUGUCGGGUUAAGUCCCAUAACGAGCGCAACCCUCAUCAUUAGUUGCCAG
Molecule: ribosomal RNA, 322 nt
Filed under: uncultured bacterium
Lineage: Bacteria
Description: bacterial SSU rRNA
Rfam family: Bacterial small subunit ribosomal RNA
Source: RNAcentral